Molecule: long non-coding RNA, 1450 nt
Organism: Drosophila subobscura
Lineage: Eukaryota; Metazoa; Arthropoda; Insecta; Diptera; Drosophilidae
Exons: 3
Source: RefSeq, a predicted model, not a curated record
UGCAGAGCACACUUUGUGUUCUCUCCGUUUUGCUACGCUUACAAAUACAUCUAAAAUCACACACACGCGCAUACACUGGCAGAGCUUACUGCGUUAACUGUAAAAUCAUAUUAAAUCCUAAUCAAUUAACUGUUAAACAAAAAGCCGCUUACAUUUUUUAAUAUAACCCAUACAUUUUAUUAUCUCAAUAGCCGCCUCUCCUCCUCCCCCUCCGGCUAUUGGGAGUACAAAAUGUGUCUUUUUCCGGCGUGUUAUGUACAAAAUACCCACACCACUCUAGGGACACUCACACACAUGCGAAUAGUGAGAGAACAAAUACUUGCAAGAGAGACAGAGAGAGAUACUGGCGCGCGAGCGUGCGGACAGCAGCAGGCCAGGCAAGGCAGAAUGCGCGCUAUUGCUAUUGCUCAUUCACAAUGAUGCGCAAUAAAAAAAAACUGUGUGGAAGAACUACAGACGCACACACAUCUUUGCAUACUGACGAAAUCAGAUUGCUUUCCAGAUGAAAAUCACAAUUUUCCCUCAACUUUUCAUCAUGCUUGAUAAACGUAUUAGCAGAUGCAUUAAGUUCCUGCGCAUGGUGCUGGCGAUGCGGUUCUGGCUUCCACAUUUUUAUAUAAUUUCUUUUAUUGAAUUUUUUUGAGCCACAAUUAGUGGGCAAACAGCACAGCACCUCGCGCCUUUACAACACGCACACACACACACGCAGACUCAAAAAUAUGCAUGCACACGCAAACAAAUACAAAGAUGUGCUCGCGCUUAUGAGUGUGUGUGUUGAGAGUCUAGAAAUGUUCCACUAUUUUCAGUUAUUUACACAAUCCAAUUUUUCUUUUUUAAACAACUCACAAUCACAAAUUGCCUUACAAAUGCUUAAUUGGUUGUAAUCUGUUUCGUUUGUUGCUGUUUGAAACGAUUAGAAUCCAGCGGAAAAAAGGGAGUAGAAAAACGUUUUCAGCGCGAAAGUAUUGUCCAAGUACUCACACACACACAGCCACACACACAUUCACCGACGGAAGCAGAAGCACGCAAGAAUUGCUGUACUCGUUUGCGCCCUGGCAGAGCAAAGUACGCAUGCCAAAACACCGGUCGUCCCGCUCUCACCUAUACCGCGGCAAUAGCAAAUGCGUACGAGUAGUUUCGUGCGUGCGAGCGAGAUGUCGUUUGAAUCGAAUACCUAUCGGCACUUUUUGGGAUAUGGCAACGCUAACUAUUUAACUACUUUAAAGGCAACCCUGUGGCGGUGUCUCUCGUUUUGCGCCUCUUAGCUGUCUGACUGAAAUUGCUGAUUUGGGCUGAAUCACUUCUGGAUGACGAGAGAGGCCUAUAUGCUGUACAUUUUUAAAUCGAGUCUACUGAAGUAUAGGAUAUUUAGGUGCAUGCACUCACAACACAUUUAAUAGUUUAAGGAACUCUAAAUAAACCGAAAAUAAGAUAAGUGUUGAGCUUGCAA